UAGGAUGACAGGUGUCACCUAGUAUUGGAAUGUAGAGACGGAAAAAGUCUUUUCCCGCGAAUUUCUACCGCCAGAAGUUGCAAUGUCCAACCAUCUUCGGAGCCCUUAGUCCGCAACGCCGAGUGUUCGCUGUUCAGGCUCUUUUUUGUGGAUCAUAGUUCUUAGUACAAGGUUGAUCAGGUUCUUUGAACUCACUGGAGUUUUAUUUUGGAUCAGAAACCGUUCAGACGAUAAGAUAUUCUUGAUGGUGUGUAUUGUGCUUCUCUGAGAAAAGUCAUAACUACACGGAGCACUAGCAGGUUCAUGGUUUCAACUAUUGAAGGUAUUUAUUCUGAUCCCUGAAUCACUGUAUGCUGGGACCAUGGAAGGGAUCUUGAAGAUUGGGACGAUGAUUAUGCACGUCCUGCCACAGUUCAAACUGGUUAAAUCCCAUAUUUUCAUCAGUUUCCAUACAAUUUUUUUUCGUAGUUGGCUGUCUUAAGGGUUCUUUCUUUUUAUUGAUGUUGAUCGAAUAAGUAGCCUCAGAAAAUUGAAAGUAUGUAAUCGUGUAGCAUUGUGAGAAAGAUAUUGAAUUGGAAGCUCAGUUAUAAAUAUAAGUACAUUUUCCUCAACUUUGGAAGUUAGAAAUGAUCAUCCUGUAACAUCCCUUUCUGGAUGUGGAUUUUGGAGUCAACCCUCAGGUCCUCACGAUUCUCGAGGUGGGUGGUUGGCGUAUAUUGUAUCUAACAUUUUAGAAAAAUCCUUACAUUAUGAGAUGUUAGCCAUUGUGCAAUUCCCUUGCGUGGGCUUUAUAAGGGGAUUAAUCUCA
Cucumis sativus (cucumber) is the source of this 808-nucleotide long non-coding RNA. RefSeq lists it as uncharacterized. NCBI's taxonomy places the organism in Eukaryota, Viridiplantae, Streptophyta, Magnoliopsida, Cucurbitales, Cucurbitaceae. The record is from RefSeq and is a predicted model, not a curated record. The transcript is spliced from 3 exons.